AUUGAACGCUGGCGGAAUGCUUUACACAUGCAAGUCGAACGGCAGCACGGACUUCGGUCUGGUGGCGAGUGGCGAACGGGUGAGUAAUGUAUGGGAACGUGCCAAGUAGUGGGGGAUAACGUAGGGAAACUUACGCUAAUACCGCAUACGAUCUAUGGAUGAAAGGGGGGGAUGGCAAGACCUCGCGCGAUUGGAGUGGCAGAUAGCAGAUUAGGUAGUUGGUGGGGUAAAGGCCCACCAAGCCAACGAUCUGUAGCUGGUCUGAGAGGACGACCAGCCACACUGGAACUGAGACACGGUCCAGACCCCUGCGGGAGGCAGCAGUGGGGAAUUUUGGACAAUGGGCGAAAGCCUGAUCCAGCCAUUCCGCGUGCAGGAUGAAGGCCCUCGGGUUGUAAACUGCUUUUGUACAGAACGAAAAGGUUUCUACUAAUACUAGGAGCUCAUUACGGUACUGUAAGAAUAAGCACCGGCUAACUACGUGCCAGCCGCCGCCGUAA
This 500-nucleotide ribosomal RNA is filed under the name uncultured bacterium. RNAcentral describes it as "partial 16S ribosomal RNA". It matches the Rfam family "Bacterial small subunit ribosomal RNA", at positions 30 to 523 of the family's 1533-position model. The record is from RNAcentral.